UACGGAGGGAGCUAGCGUUGUUCGGAAUUACUGGGCGUAAAGCGCACGUAGGCGGCUUUGUAAGUUAGAGGUGAAAGCCCGGGGCUCAACCCCGGAAUUGCCUUUAAGACUGCAUCGCUUGAAUCCAGGAGAGGUGAGUGGAAUUCCGAGUGUAGAGGUGAAAUUCGUAGAUAUUCGGAAGAACACCAGUGGCGAAGGCGGCUCACUGGACUGGUAUUGACGGCUGAGGUGGCGAAAAGCGUGG
RNAcentral lists this ribosomal RNA (244 nucleotides) under uncultured bacterium. RNAcentral's name for it is "partial 16S ribosomal RNA". It matches the Rfam family "Bacterial small subunit ribosomal RNA", at positions 524 to 764 of the family's 1533-position model. The record is from RNAcentral.